RNAcentral lists this ribosomal RNA (292 nucleotides) under uncultured bacterium. RNAcentral's name for it is "partial 16S ribosomal RNA". It matches the Rfam family "Archaeal small subunit ribosomal RNA", at positions 455 to 747 of the family's 1478-position model. The record is from RNAcentral.
GUGUCAGCAGCCGCGGUAAUACCCGCAGCCCAAGUGGUGCUCGUUAUUAUUGGGCCUAAAACGUCCGUAGCCGGCCCUGUAAAUCCAUGUGGAAAUCGGAGUGCUUAACGCUCCGAAGAGCGUGGACACUGCAGGGCUUGGGACUGGGUGAGUUCGGAGGUACUUCCGGGGUAGGGGUGAAAUCCUGUAAUCCUGGAAGGACCACCAGUGGCGAAGGCGUCCGAAUAGAACGGAUCCGACGGUCAGGGACGAAGCCCUGGGGCGCAAACGGGAUUAGAAACCCCCGUAGUCC